GACGAACGCUGGCGGCGUGCUUAACACAUGCAAGUCGAACGGAAAGGCCCUGCUUUUGUGGGGUGCUCGAGUGGCAAACGUGUGUGUAACACGGGAGUAACCUGCCCUUGACUUUGGGAUACCUUCAGGAAACUGGGGCUAAUACCGGAUAGGCGCUCCUGCUGCAUGGUGGGGGUUGGAAAGUUUGGGCGGUUGGGGUUGGACGCCCGGCUUAUCAGCUUGUUGGUGGGGAAGUGGCUUACCAAGGCGUUGACGGGUAGCCGGCCUGGGAGGGGGACCGGCCACAUUGGGACUGAGAUACGGCCCAGACUCCUACGGGAGGCAGCAGUGGGGAAUAUGGCACAAUGGGCGGAAGCCUGAUGCAGCAACGCCGGGUGCGGGAUGACGGCCUUGGGGUGGUAAACCGCUUUCGCCGGUGACGAAGCGUGAGUGACGGUAAUGGGUAAAGAAGCACCGGCUAACUACGUG
This 468-nucleotide ribosomal RNA is filed under the name uncultured bacterium. RNAcentral's name for it is "partial 16S ribosomal RNA". It matches the Rfam family "Bacterial small subunit ribosomal RNA", at positions 28 to 507 of the family's 1533-position model. The record is from RNAcentral.